GACCACACACACACACACACACACACACACACACACACACACACACACACAAUUAAGGUUCUUGAUCUAGCCAGAGUAAGUUUCCUAGGUCUCUCUCUCACUCUCUCUCUCUCUCUCUCUCUCUCACACACACACACACACACACACACACACAAUCAAGGUUCUUGAUCUAGCCAGAGUAAGUUUCCCAGGUUGCCUCCAUCCUUUGUCAAUGCACUAGAUUUGAA
Molecule: long non-coding RNA, 227 nt
Organism: Sapajus apella (tufted capuchin)
Lineage: Eukaryota; Metazoa; Chordata; Mammalia; Primates; Cebidae
Exons: 3
Source: RefSeq, a predicted model, not a curated record